This 1332-nucleotide ribosomal RNA is filed under the name uncultured bacterium. RNAcentral's name for it is "bacterial SSU rRNA". It matches the Rfam family "Bacterial small subunit ribosomal RNA", at positions 28 to 1381 of the family's 1533-position model. The record is from RNAcentral.
GACGAACGCUGGCGGCGCGCCUAACACAUGCAAGUCGAACGAGCGAGAGAGAGCUUGCUUUCUCGAGCGAGUGGCGAACGGGUGAGUAACGCGUGAGGAACCUGCCUCAAAGAGGGGGACAACAGUUGGAAACGACUGCUAAUACCGCAUAAGCCCACGGUGCCGCAUGGCACAGAGGGAAAAGGAGCAAUCCGCUUUGAGAUGGCCUCGCGUCCGAUUAGCUAGUUGGUGAGGUAAUGGCCCACCAAGGCGACGAUCGGUAGCCGGACUGAGAGGUUGAACGGCCACAUUGGGACUGAGACACGGCCCAGACUCCUACGGGAGGCAGCAGUGGGGAAUAUUGCACAAUGGGGGAAACCCUGAUGCGGCGACGCCGCGUGGAGGAAGAAGGUCUUCGGAUUGUAAACUCCUGUUGUUGGGGAAGAUAAUGACGGUACCCAACAAGGAAGUGACGGCUAACUACGUGCCAGCAGCCGCGGUAAAACGUAGGUCACAAGCGUUGUCCGGAAUUACUGGGUGUAAAGGGAGCGCAGGCGGGAAGACAAGUUGGAAGUGAAAUCUAUGGGCUCAACCCAUAAACUGCUUUCAAAACUGUUUUUCUUGAGUAGUGCAGAGGUAGGCGGAAUUCCCGGUGUAGCGGUGGAAUGCGUAGAUAUCGGGAGGAACACCAGUGGCGAAGGCGGCCUACUGGGCACCAACUGACGCUGAGGCUCGAAAGUGUGGGUAGCAAACAGGAUUAGAUACCCUGGUAGUCCACACCGUAAACGAUGAUUACUAGGUGUUGGAGGAUUGACCCCUUCAGUGCCGCAGUUAACACAAUAAGUAAUCCACCUGGGGAGUACGACCGCAAGGUUGAAACUCAAAGGAAUUGACGGGGGCCCGCACAAGCAGUGGAGUAUGUGGUUUAAUUCGACGCAACGCGGAGAACCUUACCAAGUCUUGACAUCCCUUGACAGGCAUAGAAAUAUGUUUUCUCUUCGGAGCAAGGAGACAGGUGGUGCAUGGUUGUCGUCAGCUCGUGUCGUGAGAUGUUGGGUUAAGUCCCGCAACGAGCGCAACCCUUAUGGUCAGUUACUACGCAAGAGGACUCUGGCCAGACUGCCGUUGACAAAACGGAGGAAGGUGGGGAUGACGUCAAAUCAUCAUGCCCUUUAUGACUUGGGCUACACACGUACUACAAUGGCGUUAAACAAAGAGAAGCAAGACCGCGAGGUGGAGCAAAACUCAGAAACAACGUCCCAGUUCGGACUGCAGGCUGCAACUCGCCUGCACGAAGUCGGAAUUGCUAGUAAUCGUGGAUCAGCAUGCCACGGUGAAUACGUUCCCGGGCCU